Molecule: ribosomal RNA, 254 nt
Filed under: uncultured bacterium
Lineage: Bacteria
Description: partial 16S ribosomal RNA
Rfam family: Bacterial small subunit ribosomal RNA
Source: RNAcentral
UACGUAGGGGCCUAGCGUUGUCCGGAUUUAUUGGGCGUAAAGAGCUCGUAGGCGGUUUGGCUAGUCAGGUGUGAAAUCUCCACGCUCAACGUGGAGGGGCCACCUGAUACUGCCAUGACUUGAGUCCGGUAGGGGAGUGUGGAAUUCCCGGUGUAGCGGUGAAAUGCGCAGAUAUCGGGAGGAACACCCGUAGCGAAGGCGGCACUCUGGGCCGUGACUGACGCUGAGGAGCGAAAGCGUGGGGAGCAAACAGG